GACGAACGCUGGCGGCGUGCUUAACACAUGCAAGUCGAACGGAAAGGCCCUGCGGUGGUGGGGUGCGUGAGUGGCGAACGGGUGAGUAACACGUGAGUAACCUGCCCGUGACUUUGGGAUAACUUCAGGAAACUGGGGCUAAUACCGGAUAGGAGCUGCUGCUGCAUGGUGGUGGUAGGAGAGGUUGGGCGGGUGGGGAUGGAGUCGCUGCUUAUCAUCUUGUUGGUGGGGGAGUGGCUUGCCAAGGCUUGGACGGGGAGCCGGCCUGAGAGGGUGACCGGGAACAUUGGGACUGAGCUACGGCACAGAGCCGUAAGGGAGGCAGCAGAGGGGAAUAUUGCCCAAUGCGGGGAAGCCUGAUGCAGCAAGGCCGCGUGAGGGAUGACGGCCUUCGGGUUGUAAACCGCUUUCGCCUGUAACGAUGCGUGAGUGACGGUAAUGGGUAAAGAAGCACCGGCUAACUCCGUG
RNAcentral lists this ribosomal RNA (468 nucleotides) under uncultured bacterium. RNAcentral describes it as "partial 16S ribosomal RNA". It matches the Rfam family "Bacterial small subunit ribosomal RNA", at positions 28 to 507 of the family's 1533-position model. The record is from RNAcentral.